CUGAGCUCUGCGACUGGGAAGCACUCCACACUGGGAGAUAUAUACCAGUGAAUGUGCAAAACUACAUGCAGUACAUGUAUAAGAUAUCCAGAGGCACAGGAACCGAAACUGAAGAAAACAUUUGUGGGGUUCCACAGAGACGGAAGCUGCCACUGGUCUGCACGUGUGAAUCCUGCUGGUGCACUUUGGAACUUGGAAGGAUAACCUGCUGCUUGCCCAUAAUGAAAGCUGAAUGUAAAACUGGCCAUAUUCAAAUUCCCAGUGCCCAGCAAACUGGGGUGUGGGGACUUAAGGCAGAAGAGAGGGGAAAAACCAGGUAAAGAUGUUGUUCUAUUUAUUUUACUUCUUAGAGUUGAUUAGAGUUGGGUGAAAAUGAUUAGCUGAAAGGAUUCAGAGUAAACCAAUUUAAAAUGUAAUUAUGAAGGGCUCAAGAUAGCGUGUGUGCAUAAUUAUGUUUCUUGCCUGUGUGCACUGUACUCGGUGAUUUUGUUCUGCAGAGAAUGGAAGGGGGAGGCCGGGUGUUGUGGUGUGGCAGCUGCCAGGCUGUUCUUGAUGGCCUCACCCUGCAUCCAGAAGUACUCUGCUGGCCAGCAAUAGGCUGAGCACCCAACCUGUGCAGCCAUGGAAAGGACAGUGGGCUGCAAUGGAGGAGUGGUAGGGGGCUAAAAUUCACUUGGUCAUUGGAUGUGUGAAGGGGAUGGACUGCGGGCCACAAUAUCAGGCAAGAAUGUCUGGGUUAGGCAGUGAGUGAGCUGUGCAUGGUGGUGUGCUUUGGACAGAAGGCAGAAGGAUGCUCUGGGUGACUCACGCAGCUGCCAUGAGGCCUCCCCUCAGCCUCCUCUGGAGGAACUGAUCCAACCAUUAGCUGAACCUGCACGGCUCUAGAAAAUAAGCAGCGUUGAUCCAUGUUGUUUUGUUGUUCCUUUUUGCUCUUUGAGUGUCUGCUUUCCGUAACUGGCCUUCACUGGCUUGAAAGCUGCUCAGGCAGCAGUGUUCCUCUAGUCUUCAAAGCCUGUCUUGUGCAGCCAGAAUGCAGCUGGCAGCCAUGCCCACACUUAGGACAUGGUUGCUGACAUUUCUGGAUGUGGGCUGCAAGAUAAAGAUGUUCUGCUGGGACAGGCACACUUUCAUAGCAAGAAAUCCCUGUUUCUCUUCUGUCCUUUGGUCGGUACUGGUGUAUUUCUGAGGUUCCUGGUGAUUUUUCAGCACAAACAGCUAAUCCUUUUCCUCUUUAAUCAUUCAGUCUGCACCGAUUUGUGAAUAAAGGCCUAGAGAGACCAGAACUUCA
Molecule: long non-coding RNA, 1288 nt
Filed under: Coturnix japonica (Japanese quail)
Lineage: Eukaryota; Metazoa; Chordata; Aves; Galliformes; Phasianidae
Description: lncRNA (ENSCJPG00005008644.1)
Source: RNAcentral